Molecule: ribosomal RNA, 469 nt
Filed under: uncultured bacterium
Lineage: Bacteria
Description: bacterial SSU rRNA
Rfam family: Bacterial small subunit ribosomal RNA
Source: RNAcentral
UACCCAGACUCCUACGGGAGGCAGCAGUGAGGAAUAUUGGUCAAUGGGCGCGAGCCUGAACCAGCCAAGUAGCGUGAAGGAUGACUGCCCUACGGGUUGUAAACUUCUUUUAUAAAGGAAUAAAGUGAGGCACGUGUGCCUUUUUGUAUGUACUUUAUGAAUAAGGAUCGGCUAACUCCGUGCCAGCAGCCGCGGUAAUACGGAGGAUGCAAGCGUUGUCCGGAAUCAUUGGGCGUAAAGAGUUCGUAGGUGGCACGUUAAGUCUGGUGUUAAAUGCAGAGGCUCAACCUCUGUUCGGCACUGGAUACUGGCGAGCUUGAAUGCGGUAGAGGUAAAGGGAAUUCCUGGUGUAGCGGUGAAAUGCGUAGAUAUCAGGAGGAACAUCGGUGGCGUAAGCGCUUUACUGGGCCGUAAUUGACACUGAGGAACGAAAGCCAGGGUAGCAAAUGGGAUUAGAUACCCGAGUAAC